This 922-nucleotide ribosomal RNA is filed under the name Chiloplacus propinquus. RNAcentral's name for it is "SSU rRNA". It matches the Rfam family "Eukaryotic small subunit ribosomal RNA", at positions 39 to 966 of the family's 1831-position model. Lineage: Eukaryota; Metazoa; Nematoda; Chromadorea; Rhabditida; Cephalobidae. The record is from RNAcentral.
AAAGAUUAAGCCAUGCAUGUCUAAGUAUAAACGAUCUAAUCGUGAAACCGCGAAUGGCUCAUUAUAACAGCUAUAAUUUACUUGACCUUGACACUAUCCUACUUGGAUAACUGUGGUAAUUCUAGAGCUAAUACAUGCAUUAAAGCUCUGACCUCACGGGAAGAGUGCACUUAUUAGAACAAAACCAAGCGGCUUCGGCUGUUUUCGGUUGACUCAUAGUAACUGAGCUGAUCGCACGGUCUUGUACCGGCGACGUGUCUUUCAAGUAUCUGCCGUAUCAACUUUCGAUGGUAGUGUAUCUGACUACCAUGGUGAUCACGCGUAACGGAGAAUAAGGGUUCGGCUCCGGAGAGUUCGCCUGAGAAAUCGCGAACACAUCUAAGGAAGGCAGCAGGCGCGAAAAUUACCCACUCUCAGCACGAGGAGGUAGUGACGAAAAAUAACGAGACCGUUCUCUUAUGAGGCCGGUCAUCGGAAUGGGUACAAUUUAAACCCUUUAACGAGUAUCUAUGAGAGGGCAAGUCUGGUGCCAGCAGCCGCGGUAAUUCCAGCUCUCAAAGUGCAUAGAAUUAUUGCUGCGGUUAAAAAGCUCGUAGUUGGAUCUGUGCCAUAGGACGUGGUCCACCUUCUGGGUGCGUACUAUGUUCCUAGGCUUUUUGCUGGUUUUCCCGUCGUAGCCUUCAUUGGUUGCGGCGGGUGGCUGGCGAGUUUACUUUGAGAAAAUCAGAGUGCUCAACACAGGCGUAUCGCUUGAAUGAUUGUGCAUGGAAUAAUAGAAAAGGAUUUCGGUCCUCUUUUAUUGGUUUUGUGGACUGAGAUAAUGGUUAACAGGGACCAACGGGGGCAUUCGUAUCGCUGCGUGAGAGGUGAAAUUCUUGGACCGUAGCGAGACGCCCUACUGCGAAAGCAUUUGCCAAGAAUG